This is a long non-coding RNA of Prunus dulcis (almond), 1095 nucleotides long. RefSeq lists it as uncharacterized. Lineage: Eukaryota; Viridiplantae; Streptophyta; Magnoliopsida; Rosales; Rosaceae. The record is from RefSeq and is a predicted model, not a curated record. The transcript has 2 exons.
AUAUAAUCUGACUAGGAACGCCACACGAUUCCAAAGCUAGCCAAAGCCUAACUCAGUCCCCACCCCACCAAAAUCCCUUCCUUCAUGUUGAAGAUUUCUCCCCAAGCAAAAACUUAGCAAUAUUAAUUAACCCAUCACGGUCAUAAACCUACCUAAAUCCUCUGUUUAGGUCCCCCAAACCAGCCAUGCAGGCAUAUCAGCAAGUAACCAGUGCCCACAAUUAAUAAAUAUGCUAGCUAACUGCCCGACUUUAGAACAUACAAAACCUCGGUGCUAAAAUUAUAGAUAUCCGUAGCUCAAUUAGUUAAUAAUUGUUAUUCAUGCACUCGAGGUUAUCGAGGUUAUGUGUUGGAGUUUUUCUUUAUAAGACAGUAUAAAUAUACAAACAUAUUGCCGCCACUCAGCACAAUACAGGUGUAUCCGUCUGAGCCAAAACUAGCAUGUACUUGUGUCCAACUGGCAGAAUCAAAGGGACGUGGCAAAACAGAGGCAGCAUCUAACCCUGCUUUCAGUUUCAGGUUUGAGGCAGAGGAGAAUUCGGAAAGAAGAAGACAGUAAGAAAUUAUUAUGUGUCAGCCUCACCCAGGUGUGCCUAGUUUGGUUAGGCUGAGAGACUUGACGCUGCUGCAUCACCAUGGCAGAUGGCUUCUUCUGCAGGGUCCUGCGGCGGUUCAGAUUCAGACUUCAGUGGGUUUGCAUGCUGCUGCUGCUGCAGACAUGAGGGUUGAAGAGGAGGCUGCUAGUGGUGGUGGUAGAAGAGGUGGCAGCGGUGGCCCGACAAGGCAGUGCCUGUGCUCGCCGACCCGGCAUCCGGGCUCGUUUCGGUGCAGGCAACACCAUGCUGGGUAUGUCUGGGGUACUGGUCGGAUUGUGAGAAAAAACAGCUCCACUAAUUAAUUACUUCCAAAUUAUAAGACUGCAAAGCGUGUACAAAUUAAGAAGAGAAGGAUGAUUUGCAUAAAUAUAUAUGGGUGUUUAUGAAUUAAUCACGCAUAUAAUCAACAUCACGUCCUUUCUAUAUGCUGUAAUUUCUUCUUCAAAACCAAGUUUGUUAAAUUUUUUAUAAAUAAAAAAAAAAAAAAAUUCGGGUGGAAA